UACAGAGGGUGCAAGCGUUAAUCGGAAUUACUGGGCGUAAAGCGUGCGUAGACGGUUAUGUAAGUCGGGUGUGAAAGCCCCGGGCUCAACCUGGGAAUUGCAUUCGAGACUGCAUAGCUAGGGUGCGGAAGAGGGAAGCGGAAUUUCCGGUGUAGCGGUGAAAUGCGUAGAUAUCGGGAGGAACACCAGUGGCGAAGGCGGCUACCUGGACCAGCACUGACACUGAGGCACGAAAGCGUGGGGAGCAAACAGG
RNAcentral lists this ribosomal RNA (253 nucleotides) under uncultured bacterium. RNAcentral describes it as "partial 16S ribosomal RNA". It matches the Rfam family "Bacterial small subunit ribosomal RNA", at positions 524 to 776 of the family's 1533-position model. The record is from RNAcentral.